Long non-coding RNA from Physeter macrocephalus (sperm whale), 264 nucleotides. RefSeq lists it as uncharacterized. The transcript has 3 exons. The record is from RefSeq and is a predicted model, not a curated record. Lineage: Eukaryota; Metazoa; Chordata; Mammalia; Artiodactyla; Physeteridae.
GCACGAAGGUCUGGCGCCGGCGCUCGGCGCAUGCGGGGCCGCCGCACGGGCAGAAGAGCAGCGCGUGGGAGCACCCUUACUUCAUCUUCAUCCUCAAAACAGCACAUCUCAGCUCCAAGAUCUCCUCUGCCUUAAACGUUUGCCAGAUUCCUUUCUCCUCAACCUACACCACCUGCUUUUCCUAGAAUCACCUUCUUGCCCUUCCACCUCGUGCUUGAGGAGGGAAGAGGAUCAGGGACAGAGAAGCCGAGGUUCAGAGGUCUG